This 484-nucleotide ribosomal RNA is filed under the name uncultured bacterium. RNAcentral describes it as "partial 16S ribosomal RNA". It matches the Rfam family "Bacterial small subunit ribosomal RNA", at positions 29 to 507 of the family's 1533-position model. The record is from RNAcentral.
AUUGAACGCUGGCGGCAUGCUUUACACAUGCAAGUCGAACGGCAGCGCGGUCUUCGGCCUGGCGGCGAGUGGCGAACGGGUGAGUAAUACAUCGGAACGUGCCCAGCAGUGGGGGAUAGCUCGGCGAAAGCCGGAUUAAUACCGCAUACGACCUGAGGGUGAAAGCGGGGGAUCUUCGGACCUCGCGCUCUUGGAGCGGCCGAUGGCAGAUUAGCUAGUUGGUGGGGUAAAGGCCUACCAAGGCGACGAUCUGUAGCUGGUCUGAGAGGACGACCAGCCACACUGGGACUGAGACACGGCCCAGACUCCUACGGGAGGCAGCAGUGGGGAAUUUUGGACAAUGGGCGAAAGCCUGAUCCAGCAAUGCCGCGUGUGUGAUGAAGGCCUUCGGGUUGUAAAGCACUUUUGGCGGGAACGAAAAGGACUGGGCCAAUACCACGGUUCGAUGACGGUACCCGCAGAAUAAGCACCGGCUAACUACGUG